This 228-nucleotide ribosomal RNA is filed under the name uncultured bacterium. RNAcentral's name for it is "partial 16S ribosomal RNA". It matches the Rfam family "Bacterial small subunit ribosomal RNA", at positions 104 to 334 of the family's 1533-position model. The record is from RNAcentral.
CGGGGUGAGUAAUGUCUGGGAAACUGCCUGAUGGAGGGGGGUAACUACUGGAAACGGUAGCUAAUACCGCAUAACGUCGCAAGAUCAAAGAGGGGGCCUUCGGGCCUCUUGCCAUCGGAUGUGCCCAGAUGGGAUUAGCUAGUAGGUGGGGUAACGGCUCACCUAGGCGACGAUCCCUAGCUGGUCUGAGAGGAUGACCAGCCACACUGGAACUGAGACACGGUCCAG